GGAAGCAGUCCAGCACCGUGCUAAUGAAAAAAGACGUGAGCAGCAUACUACUAUGAAGGCACUCAAGUAAAAAAAAAAAAAAAAAAUGAUACUGGAGACGGGUGAGGGCACUACUAUAGAUGUAUAGUUGGGAAAAUAGGAUACAUAAAGGUACUUGUUAUACCUGUUACUAACGAUAAACCAUUUCUAACGAAAAACAAUUGGGGACAAAGUUCGGUUGAAUAUAUUGUUUUUAAAAAUUAAUAAAAAAAAAAAAGUUAUCCUAGGAAAAUUGAGAUGAGUGUCUGUGUAUACCUGAAAACAACGAUAAAUCGUGGCUAACGCAAAAACAAUUCCGAGCGGGGUUCAGUUGAUGGCAGU
Cinara cedri is the source of this 360-nucleotide non-coding RNA. The record is from the annotation of a GenBank genome assembly. Lineage: Eukaryota; Metazoa; Arthropoda; Insecta; Hemiptera; Aphididae.